This 253-nucleotide unclassified non-coding RNA is filed under the name uncultured Halomonadaceae bacterium. Its description in RNAcentral is "contains 16S-23S intergenic spacer region". It matches the Rfam family "Bacterial small subunit ribosomal RNA", at positions 524 to 776 of the family's 1533-position model. The record is from RNAcentral. Lineage: Bacteria; Pseudomonadati; Pseudomonadota; Gammaproteobacteria; Oceanospirillales; Halomonadaceae.
UACGGAGGGUGCAAGCGUUAAUCGGAAUUACUGGGCGUAAAGCGCGCGUAGGUGGCUUGAUAAGUCAGGGGUGAAAGCCCCGGGCUCAACCUGGGAACGGCAUCCGGAACUGUCAAGCUAGAGCGCAGGAGAGGAAGGUAGAAUUCCCGGUGUAGCGGUGAAAUGCGUAGAGAUCGGGAGGAAUACCAGUGGCGAAGGCGGCCUUCUGGACUGACACUGACACUGAGGUGCGAAAGCGUGGGUAGCGAACAGG